GACGAACGCUGGCGGCGUGCUUAAUACAUGCAGGUCGAACGGAAAGGCCCUGCUUUUGUGGGGUGCUCGUGUGGCGAACAGGUGAGUAUAACGUGAGUAACCUGUCCCUGACUUUGGGAUAACACCAGGAAACUGGGGCUCAUAUCGGAUAUGAGCUCCUGCUGCACGGUGGGGGUUGGUAAGAUUCGGCGGUUUGGGAUGGACUCGUGGCCUUUCAGCUUGUUGGCGGGGUAGUGGCUUACCAAGGCUUCGACGGGAAGCCGGCCUGCGAGGGUGACCGGCCACAUUGGGACUGAGGUACGGCCCAGACGCCUACGGGAGGCAGCAGUGGGGAAUAUUGCACAAUGGGCGGAAGCCUGAUGCAGCGACGCCGCGUGCGGGAUGACGGCCUUCGGGUUGUAAACCGCUUUCGCCUGUGACGAAGCGUGAGUGACGGUAAUGGAUAAGAAAGCACCGGCUAACUACGUG
RNAcentral lists this ribosomal RNA (468 nucleotides) under uncultured bacterium. Its description in RNAcentral is "partial 16S ribosomal RNA". It matches the Rfam family "Bacterial small subunit ribosomal RNA", at positions 28 to 507 of the family's 1533-position model. The record is from RNAcentral.